RNAcentral lists this transfer RNA (71 nucleotides) under Pelodiscus sinensis (Chinese soft-shelled turtle). It matches the Rfam family "tRNA". From Rfam's summary of the family: Transfer RNA (tRNA) molecules are approximately 80 nucleotides in length. Their secondary structure includes four short double-helical elements and three loops (D, anti-codon, and T loops). The record is from Rfam by way of RNAcentral. Lineage: Eukaryota; Metazoa; Chordata; Testudines; Trionychidae.
GGUCCCAUGGUGUAGUAGCAGUAUUCAGAACUCUGAAUCCUGUAAUCUGAGUUUGAAUUUCAGUGGGACCU